GGGGCGCCAACGAUUAAAGUUGAGACUUAUAUACUUUUUGUGGUAUUUUUAGCACACAUCACAGAAAAUGUUGGGGUACAAAGCGGCCAAGGUUGCGGCUACAGCAAAGGUGAAGAAGAGAGAUGUCCUAUGUUGGUCUAAGAGCUGUUAUGAGAAUAUAGAGGAGGAGGUCCUGUUGAAGAGAAAUCGAACUUCGACUCCUAUAGUCCUACGUAUUCCUGAGGUAGUACCUUCUCCGAGCUCAUCUCUUGUGGUCGCC
This 259-nucleotide long non-coding RNA is filed under the name Olea europaea (common olive). Its description in RNAcentral is "long non-coding RNA (OEUR_LNC002787)". The record is from RNAcentral. Lineage: Eukaryota; Viridiplantae; Streptophyta; Magnoliopsida; Lamiales; Oleaceae.